RNAcentral lists this transfer RNA (68 nucleotides) under Rana draytonii (California red-legged frog). RNAcentral's name for it is "tRNA-Gly". The record is from RNAcentral. Lineage: Eukaryota; Metazoa; Chordata; Amphibia; Anura; Ranidae.
GUUUUCUUAGUAUAACAGUAUAGGUGACUUCCAAUUACCCGGCCUUGGUUAGACCCCAAGAGAAAAUA